This 478-nucleotide ribosomal RNA is filed under the name uncultured bacterium. RNAcentral describes it as "partial 16S ribosomal RNA". It matches the Rfam family "Bacterial small subunit ribosomal RNA", at positions 28 to 523 of the family's 1533-position model. The record is from RNAcentral.
GACGAACGCUGGCGGCGUGCUUAACACAUGCAAGUCGAACGGUAAGGCCCUUCGGGGUACACGAGUGGCGAACGGGUGAGUAACACGUGGGUGAUCUGCCCUGCACUUCGGGAUAAGCCUGGGAAACUGGGUCUAAUACCGGAUAGGACUCCGGACUGCAUGGUCUGGGGUGGAAAGCUUUUGCGGUGUGGGAUGGGCCCGCGGCCUAUCAGCUUGUUGGUGGGGUGAUGGCCUACCAAGGCGACGACGGGUAGCCGGCCUGAGAGGGUGACCGGCCACACUGAGACUGAGAUACGGCCCAGACUCCUACGGGAGGCAGCAGUGGGGAAUAUUGCACAAUGGGCGCAAGCCUUAUGCAGCGACGCCGCGUGAGGGAUGACGGCCUUCGGGUUGUAAACCUCUUUCAGCAUCGACGAAGCGAAAGUGACGGUAGGUGCAGAAGAAGGACCGGCCAACUACGUGCCAGCCGCCGCAGUAA